GUGAGGAAUAUUGGUCAAUGGGCGCAAGCCUGAACCAGCCAUCCCGCGUGCAGGAAGACGGCGCUAUGCGUUGUAAACUGCUUUUCCAGGGAGAGAAACUUGCGCACGUGUUGCGCAAUUGACGGUACCCUGGGAAUAAGCAUCGGCUAACUCCGUGCCAGCAGCCGCGGUAAUACGGAGGAUGCGAGCGUUAUCCGGAUUCAUUGGGUUUAAAGGGUGCGUAGGCGGACUAUUAAGUCAGUGGUGAAAUCCUGCAGCUUAACUGCAGAACUGCGAUUGAUACUGAUAGCCUUGAGUUUGGUUAAGGUAGGCGGAAUGUGUAAUGUAGCGGUGAAAUGCUUAGAUAUUACACAGAACACCAAUUGCGUAGGCAGCUUACUGAGCCGACACUGACGCUGAGGCACGAAAGCGUGGGGAUCGAACAGGAUUAGAAACCCGUGUAGUCC
Molecule: ribosomal RNA, 446 nt
Filed under: uncultured bacterium
Lineage: Bacteria
Description: partial 16S ribosomal RNA
Rfam family: Bacterial small subunit ribosomal RNA
Source: RNAcentral